AAUCGUGCAUGCGUAUAAUUGGGAUCGAUAACAAAUACCAACUAAGUUAUUACUAAUAUAUCGAAAUACAUAAAUAUCCCGUCCUUACGUAUCUUUGAAGAUUUCCAUCCUCAGCGAACAAAAAAAAAAAAAAAAAAAAAAAAAAAAAAAUAGCCAAAUGCCUCGUCAUCUAAUUAGUGACGCGCAUGAAUGGCUUAACGACGGACGUGUUUUGGAGUGCUCCGUAAUUAAAGUCAUUUUUCUCCGGUAAUUCGGUGUCGCAGACGCUUAGAGGUUAAGCCCGAUGAACCUGAAUAUCCGUUAUGGAAAAUUCAUCAUUAAAGUUAUAAUAUUUAAACAAUAUUAUACAAAUAAUGUGCAUUUUUUCCAUAUAAGGACAUUGUAAUCUAUUAACAUAUUAAAUUUAUCAUAAAAUAUGGCUUAUAGUUUAUUCAAAUUAUUAUGCUUGCAUUUUAACAUAGAAUAAAUGUCAUUAAUUUGAUAAAGUGUUGAUAGACUAAUAAGAAUACAGUGCGUUAAUUUUUCGGAAUUAUAUAAUGGCAUAAUUAUCAUUGAUUUUUGUGUUUAUUAUAAGCACUUGUAUGAUUAACAAUGCGAAAGAUUCAGGAUACCUUCGGGACCCGUCUUGAAACACGGACCAAGGAGUCUAACAUAUGUGCAAGUUAUUGGGAUAUAAACCUAAUAGCGUAAUUAACUUGACUAAUAAUGGGAUUAGUUUUUUAACUAUUUUAUAGCUAAUUUAUAGCUAACAAUCCCGGGGCGUUCUAUAUAGUUAUGUAUAAUAAUAUUUAUAUUAUUUAUGCCUCUAACUGGAACGUACCUUGAGCAGAUAUGCUGUGACCCGAAAGAUGGUGAACUAUACUUGAUCAGGUUGAAGUCAGGGGAAACCCUGAUGGAAGACCGAAACAGUUCUGACGUGCAAAUCGAUUGUCAGAAUUGAGUAUAGGGGCGAAAGACCAAUCGAACCAUCUAGUAGCUGGUUCCUUCCGAAGUUUCCCUCAGGAUAGCUGGUGCAUUUUAAUGUUAUAUAAAAUAAUCUUAUCUGGUAAAGCGAAUGAUUAGAGGCCUUAGGGUCGAAACGAUCUUAACCUAUUCUCAAACUUUAAAUGGGUAAGAACCUUAACUUUCUUGAUAUGAAGUUUAAGGUUAUGAUAUAUUGUGCCCAGUGGGCCACUUUUGGUAAGCAGAACUGGCGCUGUGGGAUGAACCAAACGUAAUGUUACGGUGCCCAAAUUAACAACUCAUGCAGAAACCAUGAAAGGCGUUGGUUGCUUAAAACAGCAGGACGGUGAUCAUGGAAGUCGAAAUCCGCUAAGGAGUGUGUAACAACUCACCUGCCGAAGCAACUAGCCCUUAAAAUGGAUGGCGCUUAAGUUGUAUACCUAUACAUUACCGCUAAAGUAGAUGAUUUAUAUUACUUGUAAUAUAAAUUUUGAAACUUUAGUGAGUAGGAAGGUACAAUGGUAUGCGUAGAAGUGUUUGGCGUAAGCCUGCAUGGAGCUGCUAUUGGUACAGAUCUUGGUGGUAGUAGCAAAUAAUCGAAUGAGACCUUGGAGGACUGAAGUGGAGAAGGGUUUCGUGUGAACAGUGGUUGAUCACGAGUUAGUCGGUCCUAAGUUCAAGGCGAAAGCCGAAAAUUUUCAAGUAAAAAUAAAAUUUACUAUAUGUAAAAAUUAUAUACUUGAAUAAUUUUGAACGAAAGGGAAUACGGUUCCAAUUCCGUAACCUGUUGAGUAUCCGUUUGUUAUUAAAUAUGGGCCUCGUGCUCAUCCUGGCAACAGGAACGACCAUAAAGAAGCCGUCGAGAGAUAUCGGAAGAGUUUUCUUUUCUGUUUUAUAGUCGUACUACCAUGGAAGUCUUUCGCAGAGAGAUAUGGUAGAUGGGCUAGAAGAGCAUGACAUAUACUGUUGUGUCGAUAUUUUCUCCUCGGACCUUGAAAAUUUAUGGUGGGGAUACGCAAACUUCUCAACAGGCCGUACCAAUAUCCGCAGCUGGUCUCCAAGGUGAAGAGUCUCUAGUCGAUAGAAUAAUGUAGGUAAGGGAAGUCGGCAAAUUAGAUCCGUAACUUCGGGAUAAGGAUUGGCUCUGAAGAUUGAGAUAGUCGGGCUUGAUUGGGAAACAAUAAUAUGGUUUAUGUGCUCGUUCUGGGUAAAUAGAGUUUCGAUCAUUUAUGGUUGUAACUUGUUCCCCGGAUAGUUAGUUACGUAUCCAAUUGUGGAACUUUCUUGCUAAAAUUUUUAAGAAUACUAGUUGGGUCAAACCAAUUAGUUCUUAUUAAUUAUAACGAUUAUCAAUUAACAAUCAAUUCAGAACUGGCACGGACUUGGGGAAUCCGACUGUCUAAUUAAAACAAAGCAUUGUGAUGGCCCUAGCGGGUGUUGACACAAUGUGAUUUCUGCCCAGUGCUCUGAAUGUCAAAGUGAAGAAAUUCAAGUAAGCGCGGGUCAACGGCGGGAGUAACUAUGACUCUCUUAAGGUAGCCAAAUGCCUCGUCAUCUAAUUAGUGACGCGCAUGAAUGGCUUAACGACGGACGUGUUUUGGAGUGCUCCGUAAUUAAAGUCAUUUUUCUCCGGUAAUUCGGUGUCGCAGACGUUUGAAUUUAGUGUCAAAAUUCGCGUAUUAAUUGCGCGAAUCGAUUGGUGUUAUUUUCGCGUCGGAAAAUUAAGUUUUUCAAUUGAAAAACAGUGUUUUCGUUUUUGCACGUGUUGGCACGUGGUGGAAAUUUUCCACAGAUAAAGCUUGGUGAGUCUUCUGGUGUGAGCUUUAGUGCAGAAGUGUGUGUGAGAGUACUCAAGAGAGAGCUUGAGAGAGAGCUUUGAGGGUGCUCUCGCCCGUGCUUUUGCCGAGCUUACGCGAGCUUUUGGGAGUGUGCUUUCUUGUGCAAGCUUUGGUGCGUGCUUUUGCGCGCGCUUCAGUAAACACUUGGAGCAUACUUUUGGGCUGCCUUAUUUUUGCAUAUAUUUUCUGUUGCAUAUUUUUGGGCCCCAUUUUCAGCACAGCUCCACCAGGCGGCGCCACUUGCCCAGAUAAAGGGCAACAUGAGCGCCAUGAGCGCUAUGAGCGCGUUGUCGGAGAGCGAGCUCUCCGCAAGCAGCCGGGCAAGCAGUCGCGCAAGUAGUGCGAUUGGUGCUGCACGGGGACGCCGUCGAGGACGCAAGUCCAAGGCGACGAGCCUCUCGGCGCCAACGCAAGCCAAGUUAUUGGCCGCUACUGGAGUGGACAAACCGGAGCCAGUUGGGGUGUUGGAGGAGUUGGCGCUCUCCUCGUUGGAGACGCCGGUGAUGCCAGAUGCCUCUGCUGCUGAUGCCUCCGCCGCUACCUUUGCUGCCCCCGCUGUUGUUGCUGCUGGAGUUGUUGCUGAUGCUGCUGAGGCAGCCGCCGCUGUCGCCGCUGGUGCCCCCGCUGCCGUCCCGGAGCGAUCUGCCGUCUCGAUGCGCAGUCUUGACUGUGUCAUCAAGAAU
This 3463-nucleotide ribosomal RNA is filed under the name Drosophila ananassae. RNAcentral describes it as "eukaryotic LSU rRNA". The stretch from base 1 to 2595 matches the Rfam family "Eukaryotic large subunit ribosomal RNA", at positions 428 to 3401 of the family's 3401-position model. The record is from RNAcentral. Lineage: Eukaryota; Metazoa; Arthropoda; Insecta; Diptera; Drosophilidae.